This is a non-coding RNA of Poecilia reticulata (guppy), 641 nucleotides long. The record is from RefSeq and is a predicted model, not a curated record. NCBI's taxonomy places the organism in Eukaryota, Metazoa, Chordata, Actinopteri, Cyprinodontiformes, Poeciliidae.
CUCAGUUGAUUUUCAGGAUGGAGGGCAAUAUGUCUGCACCGUCAGCAACGACGUGAACUCUGUCAAUGUUACAUUUAACGUAACAGUCCGAGUUUCGGAUCCAACCGGUGAUGCUCCCAGUUGGAAACUUCACAGGUUCAUCCUCUGCUUGACUCUUUUAGUCUCUGCUUCUGUUUGAGUCAGAGUUCAUUAAGAUGCACUGAUAAACUGAGAUCAAUGAAAUCAGCAGUUCUGACUUUCAGGAUGAUCUGUCUGAAGAGAUUUCCUUGUAUAGUUACAUUUUAUUUGGCUCAGCUCUUGUUUUAAGAUUUCUCCUAAUUGUGUCAAUAUGUUCUGCAUUCCUAUCCUGUUGCAUGGUUUUGUUAUUUAAACUGUUCGAUGUGUAAAACAGCACUUUUCUGCCACUUCUAAUACAUUUUGAGUGAUAUUAAUGUUCUGAUGGCACUACCUAGUUUUUACAACGUCACUUAAAAGGAGUCUUCGUCUCUUUAUUUCUCUGGUGUAGCUGUCAAAGUGUUCUAAUUUUCUGAGUAUGAAUUUUUAGUUCAUUAUCUGUGAGACAUAAUCAUUGAAAUAACAAGAAACAAAGGAUUGAAAUUUAUGUGUAAUGUUUCUAAAUAAAAUAUUUUGCUCCACUUUUU